This 253-nucleotide ribosomal RNA is filed under the name uncultured bacterium. RNAcentral's name for it is "partial 16S ribosomal RNA". It matches the Rfam family "Bacterial small subunit ribosomal RNA", at positions 524 to 776 of the family's 1533-position model. The record is from RNAcentral.
UACGUAGGGGGCUAGCGUUGUCCGGAAUCAUUGGGCGUAAAGAGCGUGUAGGCGGCCCGGUAAGUCCGCUGUAAAAGUCAAAGGCUCAACCUUUGAAUGUCAGUGGAUACUGCCGGGCUAGAGUCCGGAAGAGGCGAGUGGAAUUCCUGGUGUAGCGGUGAAAUGCGCAGAUAUCGGGAGGAACACCGGUGGCGAAGGCGGUUCUCUGGGCCUUACCUGACGCUGAGGAGCGAAAGCGUGGGGAGCGAACAGG